RNAcentral lists this transfer RNA (68 nucleotides) under Hylobius abietis (large pine weevil). Its description in RNAcentral is "tRNA-Arg". Lineage: Eukaryota; Metazoa; Arthropoda; Insecta; Coleoptera; Curculionidae. RNAcentral also lists the same sequence under 1 other name. The record is from RNAcentral.
AAGUAAGAAGCGAAAACUUCGCAUUUAAUUUCGACUUAAAAAUUUGAUAAGCCCACUAUCCUUACUUU